Molecule: long non-coding RNA, 353 nt
Filed under: Heterocephalus glaber (naked mole-rat)
Lineage: Eukaryota; Metazoa; Chordata; Mammalia; Rodentia; Bathyergidae
Description: lncRNA (ENSHGLG00000040773.1)
Source: RNAcentral
GGAAGGGUCUAACGUGGCAAAUUGAAAUUUCAUCCUGGGUAGGGACAAGCAGUGCAUAUUUUUGUUCAUAACUGAAGAUUCCUCUUCCAUGCAAAAUUUUUAUCUGGCUGCCACUUUAGUGCCAGUUUCCGGUAUGCUUUCUUGAUGUCCUCGGGGAGGCAUGUCUCUGCACGCCUAGAACUUCAUAGUAAUCCACCAUGUUUUAACAGUUUCCUGGAACAAGUCCAAGGAUGCAGACGACCGGCGGCGCAAAGAAGAGAGGUAUGAAGAAUGGAUCAGAGAAUCUCAGCAAUGGAAGCAAGGAAAACUCAAAAUAGCCAAAGAAAAUUACCUAGAUACUCUAUUACCCCCCA